Molecule: ribosomal RNA, 388 nt
Filed under: uncultured bacterium
Lineage: Bacteria
Description: bacterial SSU rRNA
Rfam family: Bacterial small subunit ribosomal RNA
Source: RNAcentral
AACGAACGCUGGCGGCGUGCCUAACACAUGCAAGUCGUGCGAGAAAGUUCCUUCGGGAGCGAGUAAAGCGGCGCACGGGUGAGUAACACGUAGGUAACCUGCCCCCCAGUCUGGAACAACUAGAGGAAACUCUAGCUAAUGCCGGAUGAGACCACGAUCCCUUCGGGGGUUGCGGCCAAAGAUGGCCUCUACUUGUAAGCUAUCGCUGAGGGAUGGGCCUGCGGGCCAUUAGCUUGUUGGUGAGGUAACGGCUCACCAAGGCUGUGAUGGCUAGCUGGUCUGAGAGGAUGACCAGCCACACUGGGACUGAGACACGGCCCAGACUCCUACGGGAGGCAGCAGUGGGGAAUAUUUGCGCAAAUGGGGACGAAAGCCUGACGCAGCGACG